GUUGACUAUGUCUAGCUAGUACUACACAUGAGGUGCAGAUUUAAUUUCGAGGAUGAAUAUGAUUGAUUUAUGAUCCAAGAAAUUUAUGAGAGAUUGAAUUCGAGUCUUAAUUAUUUUAGAUUGGAUCUGAUUUAAUUAGGCUUGAUUGGGUUAAAAAUCUAAGUUAGAUUUAGAUCAAAAUCCUAAUUAAAUUAGGAUUAACAGUCUCUUUGAGUUUGGAUCAAAUCAGAUUCGAAUUGGAUUUGAAUCGAGUCAAAUUUAAAUCAAUUUGGAUUAAAUUCAAAGAGUCACAAAAUCUUGGGACUCUCUCUCAUAAAGUGGCCAACCAAAGGAGGAAGAGGCACUAAUUAUUUCCGCCCAUAUUGUGCAUGUGCAUGAAGAAGUUCUCACAUGAACAUGAGGCUCUCCUUUCUCACAUUGAUUUCCUAUUUGGAUAUGGUUAGGAGUCCUAACUAAUUAGGUCUUUUGAUCAGAUAUUGAUGUCCAAUCUAUUUAAGGAGGGGACCUAACUAUUGUAAGGUUUAAUGGUGGACAUGCAC
This 539-nucleotide long non-coding RNA is filed under the name Elaeis guineensis (African oil palm). Its description in RNAcentral is "long non-coding RNA (EGUI_LNC058289)". The record is from RNAcentral. Lineage: Eukaryota; Viridiplantae; Streptophyta; Magnoliopsida; Arecales; Arecaceae.